GACGAACGCUGGCGGCGUGCUUAACACAUGCAAGUCGAACGGUGAAGCGAGUGCUUGCACUCGUGGAUCAGUGGCGAACGGGUGAGUAACACGUGAGUAACCUGCCCAUCACUCUGGGAUAAGCACUGGAAACGGUGUCUAAUACUGGAUACGACCAACCCUCGCAUGGGGUGUUGGUGGAAAGAUUUAUCGGUGAUGGAUGGACUCGCGGCCUAUCAGCUUGUUGGCGGGGUAAUGGCCCACCAAGGCGACGACGGGUAGCCGGCCUGAGAGGGUGACCGGACACACUGGGACUGAGACACGGCCCAGACUCCUACGGGAGGCAGCAGUGGGGAAGAUUGCACAAUGGGCGAAAGCCUGAUGCAGCGACGCCGCGUGGGGGAUGACGGCCUUCGGGUUGUAAACCUCUUUCAGCAGGGAAGAAGCGAAAGUGACGGUACCUGCAGAAGAAGCACCGGCUAACUACGUG
Molecule: ribosomal RNA, 469 nt
Filed under: uncultured bacterium
Lineage: Bacteria
Description: partial 16S ribosomal RNA
Rfam family: Bacterial small subunit ribosomal RNA
Source: RNAcentral